This 48-nucleotide non-coding RNA is filed under the name Schistosoma haematobium. Lineage: Eukaryota; Metazoa; Platyhelminthes; Trematoda; Strigeidida; Schistosomatidae. The record is from RNAcentral.
AUCCAGUUGACGCGUCCGAAAUAGGACGAAACGUGUGUCAAACUGGAU